GGAGGGGUGGCCGAGCGGACGAAGGCACCGGUCUCGAAAACCGGCGUACCGGUAACCCCGGUACCGUGGGUUCGAAUCCCACCCCCUCCGCCA
Molecule: transfer RNA, 93 nt
Filed under: Rhodovibrio salinarum
Lineage: Bacteria; Pseudomonadati; Pseudomonadota; Alphaproteobacteria; Rhodospirillales; Rhodovibrionaceae
Description: tRNA-Ser
Rfam family: tRNA
About the family: Transfer RNA (tRNA) molecules are approximately 80 nucleotides in length. Their secondary structure includes four short double-helical elements and three loops (D, anti-codon, and T loops).
Source: RNAcentral